CAAUAGCGUAUAUUUAAGUUGCUGCAGUUAAAAAGCUCGUAGUUGGAUUUCGGGUGGGAAUGGCCGGUCCGCCGUUUCGGUGUGCACUUGCUACGCCCACCUUGCUGCCGGGGACGUGCUCUUGAGUUCACGCUCGGGACACGGAGUCGGCGAGGUUACUUUGAGUAAAUUAGAGUGCUCAAAGCAGGCCUACGCUCUGAAUACAUUAGCAUGGAAUAACACGAUAGGACUCUGGCCUAUCUUGUUGGUCUGUAGGACCGGAGUAAUGAUUAAGAGGGACAGUCGGGGGCAUUCGUAUUUCACUGUCAGAGGUGAAAUUCUUGGAUUUAUGAAAGACGAACUACUGCGAAAGCAUUUGCCAAGGAUGUUUUCAUUAA
Molecule: ribosomal RNA, 377 nt
Filed under: uncultured eukaryote
Lineage: Eukaryota
Description: partial 18S ribosomal RNA
Rfam family: Eukaryotic small subunit ribosomal RNA
Source: RNAcentral